AGUUAAUGAGCUUGAUAUAAGCAUAUAUUUUGAAAAUAUAAGAUAGAUUAAUUAAUCUAUUAACUU
This 66-nucleotide transfer RNA is filed under the name Ochthebius magnannulatus. Its description in RNAcentral is "tRNA-Ser". The record is from RNAcentral. RNAcentral also lists the same sequence under 1 other name. Lineage: Eukaryota; Metazoa; Arthropoda; Insecta; Coleoptera; Hydraenidae.